Molecule: long non-coding RNA, 344 nt
Organism: Temnothorax curvispinosus
Lineage: Eukaryota; Metazoa; Arthropoda; Insecta; Hymenoptera; Formicidae
Exons: 2
Source: RefSeq, a predicted model, not a curated record
AGUGUGUGUUCAAGAACUCGGAUUAGAUCCCGAGAAAGUUAAUGUAAAUGGCGGUGCUAUUGCCUUAGGUCAUCCUGUUGGCAUGUCAGGAACAAGAAUACUGGUCACUCUGUUACACACUUUAGAGAGAACAGGAAAGAAAAAGGGUGUCGCAUCUUUGUGUAUAGGAGGGGGAAUGGGCAUUGCCAUUGCUGUUGAAAGAACAUAACGAAUGUCUUCCUUAUUUAUAUAUAUAUUAUAUAUCUUAUAUAAAAUUUAUUAUAUUUUUAUUAAAGCGUUUCUCGCUAAAAAUGGCCUUUCUUUUACGUUAUACAUUAAAUAAAGGAAUAUUACUAUGUUCUGUA